This 236-nucleotide ribosomal RNA is filed under the name uncultured bacterium. Its description in RNAcentral is "partial 16S ribosomal RNA". It matches the Rfam family "Bacterial small subunit ribosomal RNA", at positions 99 to 334 of the family's 1533-position model. The record is from RNAcentral.
CGAACGGGUGAGUAACACGUGAGUAACCUGCCCCGAAGAUCGGGAUAGCCCGGGGAAACCCGGAUUAAUACCGAAUACCCUCUCUGGAUCGCAUGGUCCGACGAGGAAAUGCCUUUGUGCUUCGGGAUGGACUCGCGGCCUAUCAGCUUGUUGGUGAGGUAACGGCUCACCAAGGCAACGACGGGUAGCUGGUCUGAGAGGACGAUCAGCCACACUGGGACUGAGACACGGCCCAG